Molecule: long non-coding RNA, 226 nt
Filed under: Mustela putorius furo (domestic ferret)
Lineage: Eukaryota; Metazoa; Chordata; Mammalia; Carnivora; Mustelidae
Description: lncRNA (ENSMPUG00000029982.1)
Source: RNAcentral
UCUGUUUUAUUUUUUCCUCUAGAUCCAGAUGCAGAUCAAAGCAGCCGACAGACAAUCCCAAGAGAUGCUAAUGCUUCACUGUGUGUACCAGGUCCGACCUGGAUCAAGAAUGUUUCCUAAUGGAAGUACAGAGUUAAAAGGUAAUCUCACUAUGCAUUUAUAAGGACAACAGAGCAAAUGAUAUUAAGUUGUAGUACAAGAAAAGGCAAAAUUAAUCUAAAUUGAC